UUCCUAAAACUGAGUUAGGUGGAUGU
This 26-nucleotide non-coding RNA is filed under the name Homo sapiens (human). The record is from RNAcentral. Lineage: Eukaryota; Metazoa; Chordata; Mammalia; Primates; Hominidae.